UCGAGGGUAAUGAAUGAAUAGAAUAUAAUGCUAAAAAUGAAGUUGUAUAUAUAUUAGUAAGGCUGAGGAUAUUUUAGCACCAAACAUUCAUUCGAUAAAAGCAUUAUAAACAUAGAGGAGCUGCGGCAGAAUACAACCCACAUGUGGAAUGCCUAAUAAAAUCUUACACUCUUUGAUUGGUUUUUUUGGGUUUUAGCUCCUCAUGGUUUGAGUUCAAUCAAAGAAAAGAAUUAGUUGUUGUAUUUUGAUCCACAAUUGUUGACUUGCCACUGCCCACUGAGAAAAGUUAAGUUGGAGAGAUGAUCAUGACAUGCAUCAGAAUUCAGAUUGAGACGAGAAACAGCUAUUUGUUUGAAAAUUAAACUCAGCCUCAGACUUAUACAGCUUCUUGGGUUGGAUAGGAAUAGGAUUGAGGAUUGGGGGGACAAAGUAAUAGUAUGCAUCAGAAAGGAUUAGGACAACUUAAUAUUUAAUUAUUUUCUCUUAACUUAUUAUAAAAAAACUUGUACUAAAUACGGCAUGCAACAUCUAUCUAUCUGUUCAUGAAUAAAAUAUGCCGCAAUAUCUUCAAUUCACAGCUUUAUCACAAACUGAAUCUUAUAGCUAGUAUUCAAUUUUCAUUAAUAAUUUUCUUUCUGUUGUACGUACUAUAUAAAAUGUAA
This 662-nucleotide long non-coding RNA is filed under the name Panax ginseng (ginseng). Its description in RNAcentral is "long non-coding RNA (PGIN_LNC012204)". Lineage: Eukaryota; Viridiplantae; Streptophyta; Magnoliopsida; Apiales; Araliaceae. The record is from RNAcentral.